This 226-nucleotide unclassified non-coding RNA is filed under the name rhizosphere metagenome. RNAcentral describes it as "partial ribosomal RNA internal transcribed spacer region". The record is from RNAcentral.
GUUGGUGAACCAGCGGAGGGAUCAUUACAGAGCUCUCGCAAGAGACUCCCACAACCAUCGCGAACCUAUCCGUCAGCGUUGCUUCGGCGGUGCGGCCCCUCUGGGGUCCUCGGCCUCCCCUCGCCGGGAGGCGCCCGCCGGAGGGCCGAAAACUCUUCGUAUACCACACGUCUUAUGAACAAAAGCAAAUAAGUUAAAACUUUCAACAACGGAUCUCUUGGUUCUG